CCUGGCGACCAUAGCAUCAUGGAACCACCUGACCCCAUCCCGAACUCAGCAGUGAAACUUGAUAGCGCCGAUGAUAGUGUGGGGCCUCCCCAUGCGAAAGUAGGUCAUCGCCAGGG
Molecule: ribosomal RNA, 116 nt
Organism: Legionella londiniensis
Lineage: Bacteria; Pseudomonadati; Pseudomonadota; Gammaproteobacteria; Legionellales; Legionellaceae
Source: Rfam